AGUAAAAGUCGUAACAAGGUCUCCGUUGGUGAACCAGCGGAGGGAUCAUUACAGAGUUAUCCAACUCCCAAACCCAUGUGAACUUAUCUCUUUGUUGCCUCGGCGCAAGCUACCCGGGACCUCGCGCCCCGGGGGGCCCGCCGGCGGACAAACCAAGCUCUGUUAUCUUCGUUGAUUAUCUGAGUGUCUUAUUUAAUAAGUCAAAACUUUCAGCAACGGAUCUCUUGGUUCUGGCAUCGAUGAAGAACGCAGCGAAAUGCGAUAAGUAAUGUGAAUUGCAGAAUUCAGUGAAUCAUCGAAUCUUUGAACGCACAUUGCGCCCAUUAGUAUUCUAGUGGGCAUGCCUGUUCGAGCGUCAUUUCAACCCCUAAGCACAGCUUAUUGUUGGGACUCUACGGCUUCGUAGUUCCCCAAAGACAUUGGCGGAGUGGCAGCAGUCCUCUGAGCGUAGUAAUUCUUUAUCUCGCUUUUGUUAGGCGCUGCCCCCCCGGCCGUAAAACCCCCAAUUUUUUCUGGUUGACCUCGGAUCAGGUAGGAAUACCCGCUGAACUUAAGCAUAUCAAUAAGCGGAGGAAAAGAAACCAACAGGGAUUGCCUUAGUAACG
This 605-nucleotide ribosomal RNA is filed under the name uncultured fungus. RNAcentral describes it as "eukaryotic LSU rRNA". The stretch from base 205 to 358 matches the Rfam family "5.8S ribosomal RNA". Lineage: Eukaryota; Fungi. The record is from RNAcentral.